RNAcentral lists this unclassified non-coding RNA (329 nucleotides) under Hevea brasiliensis (rubber tree). The record is from RNAcentral. Lineage: Eukaryota; Viridiplantae; Streptophyta; Magnoliopsida; Malpighiales; Euphorbiaceae.
GAGGACUACAGAAGGACUCAUCCAGAAGUUACUGUUCUCGAUCCUCCAGAUGCAAUUCAACAUUUACACAAUCGCCAGUCUAUGCUUCAGUGUGUUGCUGAUAUGAAUUUGUCAAACUCCUAUGGUAAAGUAGAUGUUCCCAGGCAAUUAGUUAUCAAAAAAGAUGCAGCAUCCAUCCCUGAUGCAGUCACAAAAGCUGGGCUGAUGCUACCAAUUGUUGCAAAGCCACUAGUUGCCGAUGGGAGUGCAAAGUCCCAUGAAUUAUCACUUGCUUAUGAUCAGCCCUCCCUUCAGAAACUUGAACCUCCACUUGUUCUUCAGGAGUUUGU